This 253-nucleotide ribosomal RNA is filed under the name uncultured bacterium. Its description in RNAcentral is "partial 16S ribosomal RNA". It matches the Rfam family "Bacterial small subunit ribosomal RNA", at positions 524 to 776 of the family's 1533-position model. The record is from RNAcentral.
UACGUAGGGGGCAAGCGUUGUCCGGAAUUAUUGGGCGUAAAGAGCGCGUAGGCGGUCCGAUAAGUCGGCUGUGAAAGUCCAGGGCUCAACCCUGGAAAGCCGGCCGAUACUGUCGGACUAGAGUCCGGAAGAGGCAAGUGGAGUUCCCGGUGUAGCGGUGAAAUGCGCAGAUAUCGGGAGGAACACCAAUUGCGAAGGCAGCUUGCUGGGACGGUACUGACGCUGAGGCGCGAAAGCGUGGGGAGCAAACAGG